UACGGAGGAUGCAAGCGUUAUCCGGAAUGAUUGGGCGUAAAGCGUCCGCAGGUGGCAAUGUAAGUCUGCUGUCAAAGCGUCUGGCUCAACCAGAUAAAGGCAGUGGAAACUACAUAGCUAGAGUAAGGUAGGGGUAGAGGGAAUUCCUGGUGUAGCGGUGAAAUGCGCAGAUAUCAGGAAGAACACCCAUGGCGAAAGCAGCUCUCUGGGACGGUACUGACGCUGAGACGCGAAAGCGUGGGGAGCGAACAGG
This 253-nucleotide ribosomal RNA is filed under the name uncultured bacterium. RNAcentral describes it as "partial 16S ribosomal RNA". It matches the Rfam family "Bacterial small subunit ribosomal RNA", at positions 524 to 776 of the family's 1533-position model. The record is from RNAcentral.